This 251-nucleotide unclassified non-coding RNA is filed under the name Hevea brasiliensis (rubber tree). Lineage: Eukaryota; Viridiplantae; Streptophyta; Magnoliopsida; Malpighiales; Euphorbiaceae. The record is from RNAcentral.
AACCAUAAUCCGCAAAACAUAUAUAUGAAUAGUAAAUCUCAUAUCCAAAAGUACUAUACCAUAAAUGGCAUAUUAUACACUGCAAGUUGUAUAAAUCUCACAGGUCGAAUGCCAUUUCAAGAAAAAAGUUUUGACUUCAUCUACAUGUUUAUAUACAUAUGCAUCAAAGAGCUGGAAUCUCGGGGUUUGAGGUAGAACCUUCAGCAACACCCUUGCAAACAUCAUCUCUGCAGAGAGGGCAUACCCCAUGU